Molecule: unclassified non-coding RNA, 279 nt
Filed under: plant metagenome
Description: partial contains small subunit ribosomal RNA, internal transcribed spacer 1, and 5.8S ribosomal RNA
Source: RNAcentral
UUUCCGUAGGUGAACCAGCGGAAGGAUCAUUAUAGAAUAACAAAGCUGCGAGAGCAGCCGCUGCGCCGCCAGUAUGUUCACGCCCGCGUGCCCCCACACACCGCCAUCUCACCCCCAUGUGCACCCCCGCGAGGCUCCACCUUCGUCUUGCUCGGUGGCGGCCUUACGUCUUCUCACAUACUUAGUAUGAAGCGUAGAAUGACUUUUUUCUUUUUGCGAUCACGGAAUCAAUACACCUUUCAACAACGGAUCACAUGGCUCAAGCAUCGACGCAGAAAG